This 406-nucleotide ribosomal RNA is filed under the name uncultured bacterium. RNAcentral describes it as "partial 16S ribosomal RNA". It matches the Rfam family "Bacterial small subunit ribosomal RNA", at positions 30 to 526 of the family's 1533-position model. The record is from RNAcentral.
AUUGAACGCUGGCGGCAGGCCUAACACAUGCAAGUCGGACGAGCGGCGGACGGGUGAGUAAUGUAUGGGGAUCUGCCUGAUGUAGGGGGAUAACUACUGGAAACUGUAGCUAAUACCGCAUACCAUCAGAUGAACCCAUAUGGUAUUAGCUUGUAGGUGAGGUAACGGCUCACCUAGGCGACGAUCCCUAGCUGGUCUGCGAGGAUGAUCAGCCACACUGGGACUGAGACAAGGCCCAGACUCCUAUGGGAGGCAUCAGUGGGGAAUAUUGCACAAUGGGCACAAGCCUGAUGCAGCCAUGCCGCGUGUAUGAAGAAGGCCUUCGGGUUGUAAAGUACUUUCAGUCGGGAGGCGUUACCGACAGAAGAAGCACCGGCUAACUCCGUGCCAGCAGCCGCGGUAAUAC